Molecule: long non-coding RNA, 2626 nt
Filed under: Malus domestica (apple)
Lineage: Eukaryota; Viridiplantae; Streptophyta; Magnoliopsida; Rosales; Rosaceae
Description: long non-coding RNA (MDOM_LNC013773)
Source: RNAcentral
ACGUUUAUCAACACUUAAGUAAUAAAUCAAUCAUCAACUCUCAUGUCCUUUAAUUUUCAAAAUUUAGUUUACAAAUUUAGUUUCCCUAACAUUACUCAUAAGAAAAAUAAAAAAAAUAAAAAAAGUGAUUUCUCAAUUUUAUAUUUAUCAUUUUUCUUUGUUCACAAUUAUUUGUAGCGACUGAAGGAAGUUGAACUUAUGGAGCAUCCCACCUCCAGGUUGAAGCAGUUGUUAAAAUCAAUUAAUAGCUCUCCAAAUCUUAUGACUCCCAUUGGAAGAGAACAACUGUCAGUAUUUGGAUACAAUUCUUUUGUUUUCUUUUCGUUGGUUUCAUUUUAUAUAUUGAUGGGUCCUUUCUUUUCUGUCGUGUCAAUGAAUACAAUUCUUUUUUCAAUUUAUAAUCGAUUUAUAACGAGCCUUUCGUUUUUUAUAGAAAGCGACUAAAAGAAGUUCGAGCUUCACCUUAAACUCAUUUAACAUUAAUGUCAAAAUAGAAGGAAGUCCAACAUUUUAUCAGCACAUACAAGAUUCUUAAUUUUUUAUGUGGAACAACACUAUACAUCCUAACAACAACCCAAAUUUGAUACUGGAAUUUGAGUGCUGUCUACGAUCUUUUCUUGGUAGAAUUGGACGAUUUCAUGGUCAUCAUAUAUAUUAUAUUUCAUGAUUUUAUGCUUAUAUGUUUACCGAUUAGAUUAAAAUCAUGAAGAUUAAGUGAGUUGAAAAAGUAAUAUUGCAUUGAAAGGUUCUAUAUCUUCGUCUUUUCUCAAGGCAUUUUUAGACAAAGAUUUUGUUUUUUUUUUCUCUUUUCGGAUGAUAAAUACUUCUUAGAAUAUGAAGUGUGAAUCAAAUCUAUGCUUAAAUUGAAAUUGGUUAAGAUAUAACUUUCUUAAAUUAGAAAUAAAAAGUGGUCAAGUGAUGAAACAUUUUCUAAACUUAUCUAUACUGGAAUGAAUAUAUGCUCAUGGAACCCACUAAUUCCUUUAUUUCUUUUAAUUAAGUGGUAGUGGCCCAAGUUCAUGGGACAGUCCUUAAACCCCAGAAGUUUAUUAUGCAUUUGUCUCGUUUAGUAUAGAUCACCUUUAAUUUUGAGAGGAUUAGACGUGAAUGAAAGUUCUUUCUUCUAAUCUUAUCAUUUUGGCAUGUGGUUCAAUAUCUUAGCGGAUAGGUGUGGUAGGUUUCUACUUACGCAUCCCGGGUUCGAAACUCUCUCAUUUCCUAUAUUAUUAUAAUAAUUGCAAACCCUUCCUCUCCCCUUAAAAUAAUAAAUUAAAAAAAAAGAAUCUACCAUUUGAGAAGGGAUUGAAAUGAAUAAGUUUUCUUCAAGUUAGACACAAUAUUUUCAUUUUUUUUCUUUAACAAUGUCUUACUCAUUCCAAUCUAAUCUUCUACACCAAACAAAACCUUAUUUAAAAUAUAAGUAGGAAAAAAUUAUUUAAAAUAUAAGUAGGAAAAAUUAUACUUUGAAGAGUAGUGCAAGCAAAAUGAAUUUUUUUAGGGUACUUAUAACGUGUCAGUUUUCUAAAUGCUGUAGACAUUUUGGAGAAGGGCUUCUAAGCCUUGUAUGAUAUCUGGUCAAAGGAAACUUCUCAUAUGUGAUACAGAAUAUGUCUAAAUCCAAUGAACUUUCUUUCUUUGUAUCAUAUCGUUUUUCAAUCCGUUUUUGGUUUUAUGUAACUAAUUCUUAAUCUCUUGAUGGUCAAAUAGUGAAGAUACUAACCCGUUGAUAUGUUUGCCCAAGUAGUGGAGAAGUAGAGGGUUCGUAGGUGAGCGUAUAUGUAUAAGGAACCUCAACUAUACAACUAAUUAAAAGAAGAUUCGUGUUGUAAAAAGCAUUGGAGAUGAAGGAGUCGACCCAAAUUGUGAAGAACAUGGAGGUGUGGAGGUGAUUCUACACUGUAUUGAGUUAUAGGCUGCAGGAGGCCGGUAGGUAGAGUAUAAUUAUUGUUCUAAAGAUUCCCGCCUAAUGCCGCUUAGGCUCCGUCUAGGCACUAGGCGACUGGUCACCAUCCCGAUUAAUCUCUAGGCAUUUGAAAAUUAAGUAAGUGCGCCUCGACCUGCUUAGGGGUCCACCUAGCCCACCUUGUUUGCCUAAAUUAGUCUGCCUAGGUUGUGACUCUCACUUAGAUAAAAAGCUGAUAAGUUUCAUUUUGCAUUUUAUUUUGUCAAUAAAAUCUAAGAUACUUGUUAAAUACUUAGAUGAACACUCAUUAUAUGUUUGUUCCCCAUGAUUUAAUAUGUUUUAAUACUUUAUUUUUUACUUCGGUCUUUAGUGCAAAUGAAGUGUAGAUUUGUCAAUAACAUUUUUAAUAAACUACUCCGAACUCUGAUGCAAAGGAACAGGAACACUAUCCUAAUUAUUAAAUGACAAUAGAAGAACUAUUUAACCUCCUUACACCUAAAAAAAAAAAAAAAAAAAAAAAAAAAAAAAAAAAAAAAAAAAAACUUCUUAACCUAAUAGUACGAUUUUGCAAUUUUGCACUCUCUUAAUAUCACUUGUGUUUAGAAAAGGUUUUAUAUUGAUUCAAUUGCAAAACAAGUUAGAGAACUAUGUCAAUUUUAGAGACCAAUUUAAUCUAAAAGAAAACCUUGAAAAAAAAACAAAACAAUCGUGAGAUCAGAUCAU